This 27-nucleotide ribosomal RNA is filed under the name Sarmentypnum exannulatum. RNAcentral's name for it is "partial 18S ribosomal RNA". The record is from RNAcentral. Lineage: Eukaryota; Viridiplantae; Streptophyta; Bryopsida; Hypnales; Amblystegiaceae.
GUACGUGAACCUGCGGAAGGAUCAUUG